Molecule: long non-coding RNA, 4121 nt
Organism: Dromaius novaehollandiae (emu)
Lineage: Eukaryota; Metazoa; Chordata; Aves; Casuariiformes; Dromaiidae
Exons: 3
Source: RefSeq, a predicted model, not a curated record
ACAUCCGGCACCGCCCGCCCACCGGCGCGCGCGCGCGAGUCCCCCCGCCGGCCCGCGCCGGUGGUGGAGUAACGGCCACACUGAGGCGCGGGCAGGGCGGGGCGCGCGGGCGCAAGUAGCUGCGUCGCCCUGCCGUGUCCCUACGUGCGCGGCUCUUGUUUUAUUUUCGUCUUCCUUUUCGCAUGGCGGGUGUCUGCUGCCUCGCGCGGCCCCGAGGACCUCGGAGAGGGGGAGCCGAAGGGGGGUCGCCAACCUGCGUGGCGCUUUUCAAGCAGCGCCCUUUACUCCGCGGGUUAUUUUUGAAGUCGGUUGCGCUGUUUUGUUUACAGAGCAGGGGAGAAAGGCUUCGUGCUUCAGAUCGGGUGUUUGGCCGUAGGCCCCUGCUCGGGAUGACUUGUGUCCCUGAAAGGCCUUCCCACACAGUGUCCCUCGAGGAAGGAAAUAAAGGCUUCAGUAUUUGUCUUCCACCCAUGGCCGAGUGAGAAGGGAAAUUGUAAAUGCUAAAAAUACUGCUUUCCAGUUUUCAAGGAGGGAUUGCAACCUCAGCAAAAUCCUUCCUGGAGAGAUACUCUUUUGCUCCAUCCUCUUCCAUCUGCCUUUCAAUUUCCUCUGUGUAUCUGCUGCUCCUAUCAAAGAGCAGGAAAGGGCAUAACAAGCUUCACUUGUGGUGGAGACAGCUGUACUGGGAGAAAAAUGAAGAAGAACUGGCAUGAACAUUGCUCCUUUUCUCUCUCCAAAUAUACCCUUGCUGGGAUGUUAAAAGGUGACUGCUCCAGUCAAAGCACCAGGAUUGUGUGAGACCAGAAGGAAAAAUGAAUUCCAGAAUGAGGAAUCUCCACUGACUGUGCCCUUUCCCAGCCUCUAGACAUUCAAAGCUAGAUACUGUAACCAGGAGCUUUACAGAUGAUUUUGACAGCUAAGCAAAAAGACUGAUAGACUCUGUCAGGUAACUAGGCCAGAUGAGCCACAUUCUCUGGAGAGUAAGGGAUUUGUUUUCACAGCGCAAUACUGCCUCAUGGAGAUGAUCAUUUACGCUGACUUUGCUGCAUUGAUACAGUUUUCCUAAGGAGUUGUACGACCAUGUAGCAAGUUGCUUUUUCACUGACACUACCUACACUCCGCAUACCACACCUUCAUUUGCACUUCUUGGCAACUCCUGCAUGGCAGCAUGUAGAUCCCUAUGCUGGCCUGGCAUAGCAGAUGGGACUCCUUGGCAUAUGCUCAAGAGUAGAAGCCAGGUUUUGUAAUAUUUUGCUGCGCAUUUUCAUGUGCUAGUAACAGGAGUAUAUAGUGCCUACUCCUGAGGUACAGCAUCACUCCUACUCACAUGCCAAGCCUUUUCUGAACACGCACAGCCAGCUGUGCAGCUGAGACAGUCAUUUUUCUCUGAUAUCUACAAAUACGGACUAGAGUAAAACUGUCAAACCUCCUUUCAGAUUCUGUGAAUAAAGAAGGAUCUGACCCCAAAUCUGCAGAUGUGAAAGCUAGUAUAAUAGUAUCAGCUAGUGCCUAUUCCUUGGGUAUUUGAUUUAAUUUCCUAGCUCCACAGCAUUUCUGUAGACUUUCAGGAUGGUUUUGAGUAAGGUUACUAAAACUGUCUUGGUGAUUAAUGAAUUCAAUAUUUCAUCCUUUUAUGCUUAGUUGCUAGUUAUUCCUUGUUUAUUCCUUUCUGAAAACGGGUGCUCUUUUCCAGAAAAGAAUGAAAGAAUAUGUAUUAAACAUGUAUGUGUUUAAUAUUCUUAUUUUCAUUUUCUUAAGAAACUGCUGUAUGGACAAAUCAUAGGCCACAUUUCUGACCAAUAAAUUACUCAGCCGACUCAAUAUAGCACUCCAUUACUCAGUAUAUCGCUUGUGGCAGUUGUGGUCUUUCCAUCACGGAAAGUCUGAGUAUGGAGUAAACAAACACUGUUAGAAAUGUGACACAAAAUGGACCCCGCUUAGGGGCAGAGUUGUAGACUGUAUCAAUGUUCAGCAUUUUUUUAGUUAAAAGAAUAAGCCAAACUUUAAGCAAAGAAAGAUCUUACUUGAUUCUGUCAUAGUAGUUUUCUUGUAUAACCAAAUAAGAUUUGGGCUGUUCACAUUUUACUCUUUUCACCAUUGUUUUUAUUUGUUUGCUUACAUUUGACUGUAUCUGUCACUAACAUUAGGUUUUUGCAAUCAUUCUGAGAUAGUGCCAUCUAAGAUCUGAUGAGCCAGCAGUCAUCCAUAGACAACCUAUUGAGAAACAUUGGACUAGAUAACUUCUAAAGGUCCUUUCUAUCCAUAUGCUUUACAACUCUGAUAAUAUGUUACCUGGCACCCUACCAGCACCAUUCACUCUAGAGCAGUAAGAAUAAGGAUAUGAGAUCUUCCUCCGGCCUUUUUACACACACUGUAAUAAGCUAGCCGGGCAAACAUAGAUGUUUACUGCUGCUGUCUGCAGUCCCUUCAUCUGAAUAUUGUUCUUUCCAUGACCUUUCUUUCUUGGAAACCAGCAAAUUUUGAGGCAAGGGAAUCAUCUGUAGAUUCUCAUUUAGUUCUACCUGUUUUAUUUCAGAUGAAAUGUCCCGAUUGACAAAACAAUGUGUAAUCUGUUUAAAGACCAGCCUGGAUGGAUACAGCUUUAUAACUAAUAUUUUAUGAGGUUUUUGUGAACUCUGACUGAAUAUGGAUGUCAGCAUGGGAAAUAUAUUUAAUCUUUCUGCACAGCUGUUUUUAUCAGCCUCCUUGUCAAGCAUUAAUAAACAGUUGAUAAAGCUCUCAGAGGAACCUGCCAUCAUGCAUACUGAAAUUGGUUUGUCCAACCUGUCCCUUCUGUUGCCUAGCAAAAGUUUAAUGCUUUAGUCUGAUCAGAGAGUUGGAGAAGACUUAGAAAAAUUCAGGAGUGGUUACAUGGGUGGCAGAGGUCUGACCUUAGGGCUUCAUCUCAUGUGAAACAAGAAGAUGACUUAUUACACUGGAAACAAGACCACUUUUUUAAUGCAAGACUGAUUUUUGCUGUUUGCUAAUCUUUAUCAAUAGCUCAACUGCUCCAGAUGGAAUAUCUGACUCACAGAUGGGGGCUGUAAGCAAAGUGAGGGCACAGCGCUUCCCACCAGACUGCAAGCUCAGAAGUCAGACUGUUUGCAGAAUAACUUGGUAAAGCCUGUUCUAGACUAAUGCUUUAAAAAGACUGGGCUAAAAACCUUCUCCCACUGAAAUCAGUAAGGGCAUUUCCAUCACCUUCAGCACAGCCAGGAUUUCUUGCUGAAGAAGGAGGAACUUAAUUUCAGAGUGACUUCCUUGACGACAGAGACCAUAUGCUAAUGAUUUACCUAGAAAGUUAUAUGAUUUCUCUAGUGCUUCGGAAUUUCUGUUUUUCAUUUCAGUCAAAAUUACUGUGUGUGUGUAGAAAAUACUUGUUCAGGACACAUUGCUACAAAGGAUAGACUUUGCUAUGUUUACCUGAUAUAAUGACUCAGUAGAACAACUGUGCCAUUGGGUAAAUGAUGUUUGGGGUGAAAAAUUUGACUUGUCCUUUGGCUGAAAAAGCGUAUGAGUAGUACUGAUCUUUGUUAAUUGUAGUCACUUUAGAACUUGAAAGGUACUUAGAGAGAGCCUCAGUACUGAAAAUACAUACACUGUUGAGUGAAAAAGGACAGUAUUUUAAGUGAACUUUUGUAUCAGUAUUUUGUGAUCUUGAAAAUGAUAUCACAAGAGUGAAAAGUUUUUUCCUUUGAAUGUAUGGCCAUUUUAAGGAAUGGCAUCUUACAGUAUGCUGGUUUUAUCAUGUCUUCAGCCAAUUCCAAGACAUUAAUGGCUUAAGAAGUUUGUCCCUGAUAGCUUAUGAUUUUCCCAGAGUACCUUCAUAGGAAAACGAAAUAAAAACUUUUCAUUAUUAAGAACUGAAAUUACUGAUGUGAAAGAUCAUUAAUCUAUAACACAGCACCAGUUAGCACAGUACACUCCCAAAGGCUCAGAGCCUGACUGUCUCAUUCUUCUUAGAGUCCCUCUCCAUCAGUUACAUUAUAUUUAGAUAAUAUUACAUCAAAUUCUGAUUUUUUUUUAUCCCAGUGUAAACCCAAAAGCCUGACAUGACAUUAUUGGAAGUACUUUGGAUUACACUGGAAAUUGUCCUCUGAUAGCUCUGUUUCAAAACUUUG